GACGAACGCUGGCGGCGUGCUUAACACAUGCAAGUCGAACGGAAAGGCCCUGCUUGCAGGGUACUCGAGUGGCGAACGGGUGAGUAACACGUGGGUGAUCUGCCCUGCACUUCGGGAUAAGCCUGGGAAACUGGGUCUAAUACCGGAUAGGAGCCAUUUUUAGUGUGAUGGUUGGAAAGUUUUUUCGGUGUAGGAUGAGCUCGCGGCCUAUCAGCUUGUUGGUGGGGUAAUGGCCUACCAAGGCGGCGACGGGUAGCCGGCCGGGGAGGGUGGACGGCCACAUUGGGACUGGGAUACGGCCCAGACUCCUACGGGAGGCAGCAGUGGGGAAUAUUGCACAAUGGGCGCAAGCCUGAUGCAGCGACGCCGCGUGGGGGAUGACGGCCUUCGGGUUGUAAACUCCUUUCGCUAGGGACGAAGCUUUUUGUGACGGUACCUAGAUAAGAAGCACCGGCUAACUACGUG
RNAcentral lists this ribosomal RNA (465 nucleotides) under uncultured bacterium. Its description in RNAcentral is "partial 16S ribosomal RNA". It matches the Rfam family "Bacterial small subunit ribosomal RNA", at positions 28 to 507 of the family's 1533-position model. The record is from RNAcentral.